This 312-nucleotide ribosomal RNA is filed under the name Combretum microphyllum. RNAcentral describes it as "eukaryotic LSU rRNA". The stretch from base 1 to 63 matches the Rfam family "5.8S ribosomal RNA", at positions 92 to 154 of the family's 154-position model. Lineage: Eukaryota; Viridiplantae; Streptophyta; Magnoliopsida; Myrtales; Combretaceae. The record is from RNAcentral.
UCGAGUCUUUGAACGCAAGUUGCGCCCGAAGCUUUGGCUGAGGGCACGCCUGCCUGGGUGUCACACAUCGCUUUGCCUCCUGAACCUAUCCCCUCUGUAACACCGUGGUGAUGAUCUGGAUGCAGAAGAUGGCCUCCCGUGACCAUGAGCCACGGAUGGCCCAAAUUUGUGCUGGGGAAGCAAAGCGCCACGGCAUUCGGUGGUCGGCAUAGCCCCUGAGGCGUUGAAGGCCGUGGAAGCCGCGAGACUCCCUAGCGUACGACCCUAAUCGUUAACCAAUGCGACCUCAGGUCAGGCGGGGCUACCCGCUGA